RNAcentral lists this ribosomal RNA (484 nucleotides) under uncultured bacterium. RNAcentral's name for it is "partial 16S ribosomal RNA". It matches the Rfam family "Bacterial small subunit ribosomal RNA", at positions 29 to 507 of the family's 1533-position model. The record is from RNAcentral.
AUUGAACGCUGGCGGAAUGCUUUACACAUGCAAGUCGAGCGGCAGCGCGGCCUUCGGGCUGGCGGCGAGCGGCGAACGGGUGAGUAAUGCAUCGGAACAUGCCCAGUCGUGGGGGAUAACACUUCGAAAGAAGUGCUAAUACCGCAUACGUCCUGAGGGGGAAAGCGGGGGAUCGCAAGACCUCGCGCGAUUGGAGUGGCCGAUGUCAGAUUAGCUAGUUGGUGGGGUAAAGGCCUACCAAGGCGACGAUCUGUAGCUGGUCUGAGAGGAUGAUCAGCCACACUGGGACUGAGACACGGCCCAGACUCCUACGGGAGGCAGCAGUGGGGAAUUUUGGACAAUGGGGGCAACCCUGAUCCAGCCAUUCCGCGUGAGUGAAGAAGGCCUUCGGGUUGUAAAGCUCUUUCGGCAGGAACGAAACGGUGGGCUCUAACAUAGUCCGCUAAUGACGGUACCUGAAGAAGAAGCACCGGCUAACAACGUG